RNAcentral lists this ribosomal RNA (521 nucleotides) under uncultured bacterium. Its description in RNAcentral is "bacterial SSU rRNA". It matches the Rfam family "Bacterial small subunit ribosomal RNA", at positions 120 to 674 of the family's 1533-position model. The record is from RNAcentral.
GGGAACGUGCCCUUCGGUUCGGAAUAACUCAGGGAAACUUGAGCUAAUACCGGAUACGCCCUUUUGGGGAAAGGCUUGACUGCCGAAGGAUCGGCCCGCGUCUGAUUAGCUUGUUGGUGAGGUUACGGCUCACCAAGGCGACGAUCAGUAGCUGGUCUGAGAGGAUGAUCAGCCACACUGGGACUGAGACACGGCCCAGACUCCUACGGGAGGCAGCAGUGGGGAAUAUUGGACAAUGGGGGCAACCCUGAUCCAGCCAUGCCGCGUGAGUGAUGACGGCCUUAGGGUUGUAAAGCUCUUUUCUCCGGGACGAUAAUGACGGUACCGGAGGAAUAAGCCCCGGCUAACUUCGUGCCAGCAGCCGCGGUAAUACGAAGGGGGCUAGCGUUGCUCGGAAUCACUGGGCGUAAAGGGCGCGUAGGCGGCUGAUUUAGUCGAGGGUGAAAGCCCGUGGCUCAACCACGGAAUGGCCUUCGAUACUGGUUGGCUUGAGACCGGAAGAGGACAGCGGAACUGCGAGU